This 497-nucleotide ribosomal RNA is filed under the name uncultured bacterium. Its description in RNAcentral is "partial 16S ribosomal RNA". It matches the Rfam family "Bacterial small subunit ribosomal RNA", at positions 28 to 507 of the family's 1533-position model. The record is from RNAcentral.
GAUGAACGCUGGCGGCGUGCCUAAUACAUGCAAGUCGAGCGAACGGACGAGAAGCUUGCUUCUCUGAUGUUAGCGGCGGACGGGUGAGUAACACGUGGAUAACCUACCUAUAAGACUGGGAUAACUUCGGGAAACCGGAGCUAAUACCGGAUAAUAUUUUGAACCGCAUGGUUCAAAAGUGAAAGACGGUCUUGCUGUCACUUAUAGAUGGAUCCGCGCUGCAUUAGCUAGUUGGUAAGGUAACGGCUUACCAAGGCAACGAUGCAUAGCCGACCUGAGAGGGUGAUCGGCCACACUGGAACUGGGCCACGGUCCAGACUCCUACGGGAGGCAGCAGUAGGGAAUCUUCCGCAACGGGCGAAAGCCUGACGGAGCAACGCCGCGUGAGUGAUGAAGGUCUUCGGAUCGUAAAACUCUGUUAUUAGGGGAGAACAUAUGUGUAAGUAACUGUGCACAUCUUGACGGUACCUAAUCAGAAAGCCACGGCUAACUACGUG